UAUAGUAUAUAGUACAUGGUUAUAUUUCAUAUUCAAUAAGAUAUAAAACGAAGAAAGGUAUUAAAAGUAAAUAAAUAAACAAAUAAAUAAACACGGACAUUCACACCAAAUAUUACUUAUCUCGUGCGAAUACCUUUUUGUAGAUUAUCGUUACGUCAUUUGAAAGAUCCAAAAACAGAUUCGCCUACGUCAAAUAAAUUCUCCUUGUGUCGUCACGUAUCUUUCGUGAUUAGAGUCAUGAUGAUAAGAGAGAGAGAGAGAGAGAGAGAGAGAGAGAGAAAAAGAGAGAGACGACGUUUAUUUUUCGCAUCAUUGAUUGUGCGAAAUACGUCACGGACACCUGUGAUCACUUUAAGGCAUCAUAAUAAAUCUAAAGAACAUAAGACGCUACCGAAGGUAUUACGAGAUACAUAUGUACGUUAAGAGAUUAGGAUUGUAAAGA
This is a long non-coding RNA of Vespa mandarinia (Asian giant hornet), 442 nucleotides long. The record is from RefSeq and is a predicted model, not a curated record. NCBI's taxonomy places the organism in Eukaryota, Metazoa, Arthropoda, Insecta, Hymenoptera, Vespidae.